CCCUUAGAUGUCCUGGGCCGCACGCGCGCUACACUGAGUGUCUGAGAUACGAGUCUGCCUGGUCCGGCAAGGUCUAGGUAAUCGCUAAAAGACACAUCAUGCUUGGGAUAGAUUAUUGCAAAUAUUAAUCUUGAACGAGGAAUUCCUAGUAAGCGCAAGUCAACAGCUUGCGUUGAUUACGUCCCUGCCCUUUGUACACACCGCCCGUCGCUACUACUGAUUGGAUGUUUAAGCGAGGUUCUCGAACUGCUAGCGACUCAGCUUCGGUGAGGUCGCAGUGUGGGAAGUGAACCUAGCUUUGGUGUCUAGAGGAAGUAAAAGUCGUAACA
This 329-nucleotide ribosomal RNA is filed under the name uncultured eukaryote. RNAcentral describes it as "partial 18S ribosomal RNA". It matches the Rfam family "Eukaryotic small subunit ribosomal RNA", at positions 1470 to 1796 of the family's 1831-position model. The record is from RNAcentral.